Pimephales promelas (fathead minnow) is the source of this 181-nucleotide non-coding RNA. The record is from RefSeq and is a predicted model, not a curated record. NCBI's taxonomy places the organism in Eukaryota, Metazoa, Chordata, Actinopteri, Cypriniformes, Leuciscidae.
CUUGGGGGAAUCUUGGAAAUCCAAAUGCAAACCCUAAGGUAUAUCCAGUUACACACAGUUACCAAGAUAGCAUGAAGACUAGCCUGGUGACAAACAGGACUGCCUCAUGUGUAGUUCUGGAUGAGUUUGAGGAGGCUGAGAACCACAAGAACAAGAAGUCAACAAGUUGGGAUGACUCCCC